AGCACUACUCCGCCAUGCACAGAGGGAUCCCAGCCCAGAGCGCAGCCUUCUACUGAGAGGGGAUUGAGGACCUGAGCCCUAGGACCAUGCCCCAGGACUACCUGACAUGAUGACUCCUUGCUGUCCCCAGUCCACCUGGCCAUGCUGCUGCUCCAGUUUCAACUGGCCUGGGCCCUAGGACCAUGUCCCAGGACUACCUGACAUGAUGACUCCUUGCUGUCCCCAGUCCACCUGGCCAUGCUGCUGCUCCAGUUUCAACUGUUCUGCCUUACUAUUAUUCAACCAUGCUGGUCAUUUAUGAACAUUUGAACAUCUUGGCCACGUUCUGUUAUAAUCUCCACCCGGCACAGCCAGAAGAGGACUGGCCACCCCACAUAUGCUCUCUCUAAUUCUCUCUUUCUUUCUCUCUCUCGGAGGACCUGAGCCCUAGGACCGUGCCCCAGGACUACCUGACAUGAUGACUCCUUGCUGUCCCCAGUCCACCUGACUGUGCUGCUGCUCCAGUUUCAACUGUUCUGCCUUAUUAUUAUUCGACCAUGCUGGUCAUUUAUGAACAUUUGAACAUCUUGGUCAUGUUCUGUUAUAAUCUCUACCCGGCACAGCCAGAAGAGGACUGGCCACCCCACAUAGCCUGGUUCCUCUCUAGGUUUCUUCCUAGGUUUUGGCCUUUCUAGGGAGUUUUUCCUAGCCACCGUGCUUUUACACCUGCAUUGUUUGCUGUUUGGGGUUUUAGGCUGGGUUUCUGUACAGCACUUUGAGAUAUCAGCUGAUGUACGAAGGGCUAUAUAAAUAAAUUUGAUUUGAUUUGAGGUACCCAGGCUAGGCCAGGAGAAGCCAUGCAAACAGUCAGGUACCCAAGCUAGGCCAGGAGAAGCCAUGCAGACAGUCAGGUACCCAGGCUAGACCAGGAGAAGCCAUGCAGACAGUCAGGUACCCAGGCUAGACCAGGAGAAGCCAUGCAGACAGUCAGGUACCCAGGCUAGGCCAGGAGAAGCCAUGCAGACAGUCAGGUACCCAGGCUAGACCAGGAGAAGCCAUGCAAACAGCAGGGAGUAGAACAAGUCAAACAGAAUCUACACAAAGCAUGUGAUGAGGCCAAAAGGAGUUUCCAUUCACGUUAAAAAAGGUCAGAACCAGGCUGGCUACUCAUUUAGGUCAUUGAAGAGAUGCCCUCAUGGGUCAGCCCAUCAAUACAUCGUACUGUGAUCCAUUCAUCAGGCCAGCUAUCACACUCUGGGAUUGUUGAGUCAGGCCUGGAGCCUAAGGGUGAGAGGUUAAACGGAGACAGGUGGCAGUAGGCUAGCUUCUAUCCAUCUGCAGACUAGAACAGGUUUAAGUGUGUGUUAAGGCUGUGUGUUCAUCUAGACACUACUGUAUGGACUGGACAGUAGCUCAGACAAGCCAUGGACAGUAUAUACUUUGAAUGCUGCAGAGUCAACAGGCAUACAUGCAGAUACGCAUACAUAUGAGUACCCACUCAGAUGUCCACACACGUCUCCUCAGUCGAAUACCACCACACACACGGCACCCCCCUCAGGCCAUCAUACCAGACACGGAAACAAACUGCCCCACUUUGCUGGUGUCUAAACACAAACAUGCCGUUAUAGUACACGCUGCCGUGAACAAACACAGAAACACACACCAUUAUUCCUAACCGAGUCCGACAGACACACAAAAACAAUGUCUGCCUCAUCCUCCCGUCACAGGGAGCCAGAACAGGGCCACCAUGACAGUGCCCCAGGCAUCACUACAAUAGAACUACAGCGGAUUGGCACUGGACUGGUACAGCACUACGUUAGAACAGGGAUUGGACAACACAGAGCUUGGCCCCGCAGUGUCAGUUUGGCUUCAAAUCUAGGUUGUGGUUUCUGGUUGAACAGCCAGGUUUUGGUUUAAGGGGUCACUGCUCUUAAACUAGAGGGACGUUCAAAUAUUUGUGUCGAGCGCAACACAGUGUGCUUGUACUCCUCUCAGGCGUUUUAAGUGAUGCCACCAUUUCCGCUCUGUUGUGAAAGGAAGUCUUCAGCAUUCAGCCAGGAGCCCAGAGAAGAGAGCGCGAAAGUGAGCGAGAGUGAGCGAGCCGCCUUUUCAUUUUGCCAGCCUCAAAAGCAAUUAGUGGAGCCAGAUGGCUGUCUGGACUCUGAAUAAAUAGUUUGAGCAUCGACGGAAAAACCCCAUAGACGACACACACACAGACCUGUGUCAAAGCGUCGAGACACAGGGAAGAUACGGACCUAAAGAACCAAAUUGGUUCUAGCUGAGACUACAGGGCAGAAAAACAAUCAAACCUUCACACAAUGAAUCCAUUUCCACUUCAUCUCUGCACCUUCACUGUGGGGAGUGAAGGUCACAUGGUUUUACAGUGAUAAAAGUAUGGGCACAUGAAAGCACGCGUCCCCUCCCACUUUCUUUACCAAACCAGUCUGGUUGAGUCAGAGGGUUCAAAGAACGCAGCCCUUGAGAGCUGGUCGAAUUACUUAGUUUCAGCCAGCAUGCACAUUCCCCAACUGAUAACAAACCCUCCCUCUAUGUGGUAAUACCAAAGCAACACCACAUUCCUAAGCCAUUACACACGGUAUCUGUACGUUUCCUUGACGCUCCCACUCUGUCCAAACUACCCGUUACCACGGCAGCGGGUUCACCUUAGUCAACCAGAUGACAUAUGCAAAUCAAACAAACAGGGGGAGGGGCUUGGGUGUGUGAGUGAAACGUGAGCUAACACACGUCACCGCUCUCCCUCGCUACCCUUCUCAUGUUGAUUCCCAUAGCCUAGAUACUGUAUGUUAUCAGCGCUCUUGACAAUGAACAGUUUUAUCACAACCGAAACGAGACAAACAGCAAGACUCAGCACCCUCCAGGGUGUGCUAACAUGUUACACUAGCUAACAGAGGACAUUGAUAAUAAAUAUACCCAGAUACCUACAUUCAAUUACUAUUUAUAUUCCUUCUAUGUACAUAAUACACAGCAACAAGGUCAUCGUUUCAAAAAUCAAGAAAACUUUAAUUGCAACCAAAUACAAAAAAAAAUGACAAAUAGUGACAGAUUCUAAAAGGUUUCUUUAAAAAAAACUAGUUCAGAGCGGUGAAUAAAAGCACAUUUUGUGGUAAGAUUGUUUCGAGUGCACUGUACAAAAUGGUGCAGGGUAAAAGCACAUUAAGCCUGUUGUGGCGGAGUAGUCACAGCAAAGCAGUGGAGAAAUAAAGCAUAAAUGUUAAAGCACUGCAAUAAGAGAUAAAAAGAUAAGGACUUGUAAAAUAAGCAUUGAUACAGAAGAGAAGAAAUCCUUCAUGCUCGGCACUGAGAAAUAGAACACGUGACACCAUAAAUUAGUCAUUCUUUAUUUUCCUUUCCACUAGAUACUGUAUUUAUAUAUUUAUACUAUGUACACGUCAGGGGGGAGCGAUCGAGACGACAAGGAAGUUAAGGCUUGGAUUAGUCAUCAGUGUUUCGAGCCAGAGGACGACAAUGUGGAUUAACAACAACUACUAAAUAACAACCUACAAACAAGCUGUGUUAACUCCAGGACAGGAACAUUACGUCAACUCUCUAAAAGCA
Oncorhynchus nerka (sockeye salmon) is the source of this 3555-nucleotide long non-coding RNA. RefSeq lists it as uncharacterized. The transcript has 2 exons. The record is from RefSeq and is a predicted model, not a curated record. NCBI's taxonomy places the organism in Eukaryota, Metazoa, Chordata, Actinopteri, Salmoniformes, Salmonidae.